ACUCCUACGGGAGGCAGCAGUAGGGGAAUCUUCCACAAUGGGCGCAAGCCUGAUGGAGCAACACCGCGUGAGUGAAGAAGGGUUUCGGCUCCGUAAAGCUCUGUUGUUAAAGAAGAACACGUAUGAGAGUAACUGUUCAUACGUUGACGGUAUUUAACCAGAAAGUCACGGCUAACUACGUGCCAGCAGGCCGCGGUAAUACGUAGGUGGCAAGCGUUAUCCGGAUUUAUUGGGCGUAAAGAGUAGUGCAGGCGGUUUUCUAAGUCUGAUGUGAAAGCCUUCGGCUUAACCGGAGAAGUGCAUCGGAAACUGGAUAACUUGAGUGCAGAAGAGGGUAGUGGAACUCCAUGUGUAGCGGUGGAAUGCGUAGAUAUAUGGAAGAACACCAGUGGCGAAGGCGGCUACCUGGUCUGGCAACUGACGCUGAGACUCGAAAGUAUGGGUAGCAAACAGGAUUAGAUACCCUGGUAGGAUAGCG
Molecule: ribosomal RNA, 478 nt
Filed under: uncultured bacterium
Lineage: Bacteria
Description: bacterial SSU rRNA
Rfam family: Bacterial small subunit ribosomal RNA
Source: RNAcentral